This 544-nucleotide ribosomal RNA is filed under the name Solicoccozyma phenolica. RNAcentral's name for it is "eukaryotic LSU rRNA". It matches the Rfam family "Eukaryotic large subunit ribosomal RNA", at positions 88 to 613 of the family's 3401-position model. The record is from RNAcentral. Lineage: Eukaryota; Fungi; Basidiomycota; Tremellomycetes; Filobasidiales; Piskurozymaceae.
GGCGAGUGAAGCGGGAAAAGCUCAAAUUUGAAAUCUGGUAGCCUCAGGCUGCCCGAGUUGUAAUCUAUAGAAACGUUUUCCGCGCUGGCCCAUGUACAAGUCUCCUGGAAUGGAGCGUCAUAGAGGGUGAGAAUCCCGUCCUUGACAUGGACUACCAGUGCUUUGUGAUACGUUUUCAAAGAGUCGAGUUGUUUGGGAAUGCAGCUCAAAAUGGGUGGUAAAUUCCAUCUAAAGCUAAAUAUUGGCGAGAGACCGAUAGCGAACAAGUACCGUGAGGGAAAGAUGAAAAGCACUUUGGAAAGAGAGUUAAACAGUAUGUGAAAUUGUUGAAAGGGAAACGAUUGAAGUCAGUCAUGUCUAUUGGACUCAGCCGGUUCUGCCGGUGUACUUCCUUUAGAUGGGGUCAACAUCAGUUUUGAUCGCUGGAAAAGGGCAGGAGGAAUGUAGCACUCUCGGGUGAACUUAUAGCCUCCUGUCGUAUACAGUGGUUGGGACUGAGGAACGCAGCAUGCCUUUAUGGCCGGGGUUCGCCCACGUACAUGCU